RNAcentral lists this long non-coding RNA (653 nucleotides) under Oryctolagus cuniculus (rabbit). Its description in RNAcentral is "lncRNA (ENSOCUG00000037846.1)". The record is from RNAcentral. Lineage: Eukaryota; Metazoa; Chordata; Mammalia; Lagomorpha; Leporidae.
UGGGAACAUGCACACCAGGGGCUGGGAAUCCUGGGGACUGCCUUCAAAUUCUGCGGACACAACGGCCCUUGCUGCCCUGUAAAAACUUCUUCACCUUCUUGGAAUUCUUCAAGUUCCUGUGUGGUCUGUUACCCUGCAUUCCAUGUAAACACUCAAUUGUAUCCUGUUUCAUAUUACAACUGAGUGGUUGCAGGGCUGCUCUCUUUACCUUCCAGGGCUAGGAGGAUGCUGGCUGCUUCUUCUUCCUGGUUUUUGUAUCUUUGCACCCCCGACUCAGUACUGGGGAGAAUAGAAAGUUAAAAGGUGCUGCCAGUUUUUUUUUUUUUUUUUUGGUUCACUUUUUGAUCUUGGCCUGAACUUUGCUGGGCAUGUGUUCUUUAUUGCCAUGCUAAUAAUACGCAGAGCAAUGACCUUGCCAUGGAAGAAUGUUCCAGGGCCCCCGGAGAACCCUCUGGAACUCCAUGCCACAAGAUAUCUUCAUGGGAGCAGGCAGCACAGUCCUCCAGAUUGGAGAUACUGAAUUUCAGAGCCCCAAGGGUUCUCCAAAGUCACCAACUUGGCUUCCAAGUCCAAGUCCUUCUUAAUCCCCUAGGCUACGGGUUAUCAACCGCUGUCUUUCUAUGCCGCCUCUGUAGCCUUGGUCAAAUAAAUUC